CAGCAAUGGAUCUCUUGGCUCUCGCAUCGAUGAAGAACGCAGCGAAUCGCGAUAUGUAAUGUGAAUUGCAGAUCUACAGUGAAUCAUCGAAUCUUUGAACGCACCUUGCGCUCCUCGGUGUUCCGAGGAGCAUGCCUGUUUGAGCGUCAGUAAAUUCUCAACCCCUCUCGAUUUGCUUCGAGAGGGUGCUUGGAUAGUGGGGGCUGCCGGAGUCUCAGGACUCGGGCUCUCCUGAAAUGCAUUGGCUUGCGGUCGAUUUUCGACUUUGCGCGACAAGGCUUUCGGCGUGAUAAUGAUCGCCGUUCGCCGAAGCGCAUGAAUGAACGUCCCGCGCCUCUAAUAAGUCGACUGGUACCUCUCUUAGGAGAGCGAAGGUCUUCCUUCUUGACGUUUGACCUCAAAUCAGGUAGGACUACCCGCUGAACUUAAGCAUAUCAAUAAGCGGAGGAAAAGAAACUAACAAGGAUUCCCCUAGUAACUGCGAGUGAACCGGGAAAAGCUCAAAUUUUGAAUCUGGCGGUCUUAGGGCCGUCCGAGUUGUAAUCUAGAGAAGCGUCUUCCGCGCUGGACCGUGUAUAAGUUUCCUGGAACGGAACGUCGUAGAGGGUGAGAAUCCCGUCUUUGACACGGACUGCCAGGGCUAUGUGAUGCGCUCUCGACGAGUCGAGUUGUUUGGGAAUGCAGCUCAAAUAGGGUGGUAAAUUCCAUCUAAAGCUAAAUACAGGNGAGAGACCGAUAGCGAACAAGUACCGUGAGGGAAAGAUGAAA
Molecule: ribosomal RNA, 768 nt
Filed under: uncultured Truncocolumella
Lineage: Eukaryota; Fungi; Basidiomycota; Agaricomycetes; Boletales; Truncocolumellaceae
Description: eukaryotic LSU rRNA
Rfam family: Eukaryotic large subunit ribosomal RNA (bases 393-768)
Source: RNAcentral